RNAcentral lists this ribosomal RNA (372 nucleotides) under uncultured organism. Its description in RNAcentral is "bacterial SSU rRNA". It matches the Rfam family "Bacterial small subunit ribosomal RNA", at positions 526 to 896 of the family's 1533-position model. The record is from RNAcentral.
CAGAGGUCUCAACCGUUGUUCGGAUUCAUUGGGCGUAAAGGGUGCGUAGGCGGCGGAGUAAGUCGGGUGUGAAAUCUCGGGGCUCAACCCCGAAACUGCACUUGAUACUGCUUCGCUCGAGUACUGGAGAGGAGACUGGAAUUUACGGUGUAGCAGUGAAAUGCGUAGAUAUCGUAAGGAAGACCAGUGGCGAAGGCGAGUCUCUGGACAGUUACUGACGCUGAGGCACGAAGGCCAGGGGAGCAAACGGGAUUAGAUACCCCGGUAGUCCUGGCAGUAAACGGUGCACGUUUGGUGUGGGAGGAUUCGACCCCUUCCGUGCCGGAGCUAACGCGUUAAACGUGCCGCCUGGGAAGUACGGUCGCAAGAUUA